GAGCAACAGGAACAACGCAGGGAGACUCAUCUCCCAUCAUGCACAAAGCAUCUAGAACAGGCAUUAGCACCAUCCUAGCAGCCUGAAGAAAAUCCAUGCCCAAGAUAACUUGAAAGUCAUCUAGGGGUACGGCCAUGAAAUUGGCCUUUCCACCCCAAGUUCCAACCUAAAUAAGCACAUCCCUUGCAAGCCCAACAAUGGGCCAUGCUUCAGAGUUCACCGCCUUCAUUCGACUGGAGUUCCUCUCCAACUUCAACCCA
RNAcentral lists this long non-coding RNA (260 nucleotides) under Elaeis guineensis (African oil palm). RNAcentral describes it as "long non-coding RNA (EGUI_LNC036665)". The record is from RNAcentral. Lineage: Eukaryota; Viridiplantae; Streptophyta; Magnoliopsida; Arecales; Arecaceae.